CUGAGUUUAUCCUUAGAGAUGGUGUACUGACCAACUUAGACAAGAAGGAUGUUUCUACUCAUUGUAAAUUUGAGACGUUAUGCCUUUGCUCUCUUGUAGAGUGGAUAGCAAUGAGAAAGGAACCUUUUGAUUGAUUGGCAUACGGGAAUUUUUUUUAAUGACUGCGGAGUAAGAGUGGAACUACGAGAUGCAAUGAGAAAGGAACCUUUUGAUUGACUGGCAUAUGGAGAAUUUUUUUGUAUGACUGCGGAGUAAGAGAUGUAAAAAUUAAAAUUUUGGUUUUCUAUUUCAUUUUGAUUUGAUUUUCUUAUCAUCUUCAGUGAUCAGUAGAUCGACUUCUUUUGUCAAUUUUCCAUAUCCUUUAAACUGCUGCUGCUUUGGAUGUUCUAUACAAUGUAUGAUGUUAUCCAAAC
This 413-nucleotide long non-coding RNA is filed under the name Nicotiana benthamiana. RNAcentral describes it as "long non-coding RNA (NBEN_LNC020029)". The record is from RNAcentral. Lineage: Eukaryota; Viridiplantae; Streptophyta; Magnoliopsida; Solanales; Solanaceae.